RNAcentral lists this unclassified non-coding RNA (322 nucleotides) under soil metagenome. RNAcentral's name for it is "partial contains 5.8S ribosomal RNA, internal transcribed spacer 2, and large subunit ribosomal RNA". The stretch from base 1 to 120 matches the Rfam family "5.8S ribosomal RNA", at positions 35 to 154 of the family's 154-position model. The record is from RNAcentral.
GAUGAAGAACGCAGCGAAAUGCGAUAAGUAAUGCGAAUUGCAGAAUUCAGUGAGCCAUCGAAUCUUUGAACGCACAUUGCGCCAUGUGGUAUUCCGCAGGGCAUGCCUGUUCGAGCGUCAUUUCAACCCUCAAGCUCUGCUUGGUGUUGGGCCACGCCCCCGCGGCCGGCCCCAAAGCUAGUGGCGGUGCCGUCUGGCUCUAAGCGUAGUACAUCUCUCGCUCUAGGGCCCGGCGGUUGCUUGCCAGAACCCACACUCUUAUGGUUGACCUCGGAUCAGGUAGGGAUACCCGCUGAACUUAAGCAUAUCAAUAAGCGGAGGA